GCUCCGAUCGUCUAGCCCGGUCCAGGACAAUGGCCUUUCGAGCCAUGAACACGGGUCCGAAUCCCGUUCGGAGCA
This 75-nucleotide transfer RNA is filed under the name Candidatus Micrarchaeota archaeon CG1_02_55_22. Its description in RNAcentral is "tRNA-Glu". It matches the Rfam family "tRNA". Rfam says of the family: Transfer RNA (tRNA) molecules are approximately 80 nucleotides in length. Their secondary structure includes four short double-helical elements and three loops (D, anti-codon, and T loops). Lineage: Archaea; Nanobdellati; Microcaldota. The record is from RNAcentral.